AUUGAAGCCCGAGUAAACGGCGGCCGUAACUAUAACGGUCCUAAGGUAGCGAAAUUCCUUGUCGGUUAAAUACCGACCUGCAUGAAUGGCGUAACGAGAUGGGAGCUGUCUCAACCAGAGAUUCAGUGAAAUUGUAGUGGAGGUGAAAAUUCCUCCUACCCGCGGCAAGACGGAAAGACCCCGUGGACCUUUACUACAACUUAGCACUGCUAAUGGGAAUAUCAUGCGCAGGAUAGGUGGGAGGCUUUGAAGUAAGGGCUUUGGCUCUUAUGGAGUCA
RNAcentral lists this ribosomal RNA (278 nucleotides) under Helicobacter pylori. Its description in RNAcentral is "partial 23S ribosomal RNA". It matches the Rfam family "Bacterial large subunit ribosomal RNA", at positions 1911 to 2188 of the family's 2925-position model. The record is from RNAcentral. Lineage: Bacteria; Pseudomonadati; Campylobacterota; Epsilonproteobacteria; Campylobacterales; Helicobacteraceae.